AAAGAAACUAACAAGGAUUCCCCUAGUAACUGCGAGUGAAGCGGGAAAAGCUCAAAUUUAAAAUCUGGCGGUCUUUGGCUGUCCGAGUUGUAAUCUAGAGAAGUGUUAUCCGCGCUGGACCGUGUACAAGUCUCCUGGAAUGGAGCGUCAUAGAGGGUGAGAAUCCCGUCUUUGACACGGACUGCCAGGGCUUUGUGAUGCGCUCUCAAAGAGUCGAGUUGUUUGGGAAUGCAGCUCAAAAUGGGUGGUAAAUUCCAUCUAAAGCUAAAUAUUGGCGAGAGACCGAUAGCGAACAAGUACCGUGAGGGAAAGAUGAAAAGAACUUUGGAAAGAGAGUUAAACAGUACGUGAAAUUGCUGAAAGGGAAACGCUUGAAGUCAGUCGCGUUGUCCAGGGAUCAACCUUGCUUUUGCUUGGUGCACUUUCUGGUUGACGGGUCAGCAUCAAUUUUGACCAUUGGAAAAAGAUUAGGGGAAUGUGGCAUCUUUGGAUGUGUUAUAGCCCUUGGUUGCAUACAAUGGUUGGGAUUGAGGAACUCAGCACGCCUUAAAGGUCGGGUUUUUAACCACGUACGUGCUUAGGAUGCUGGCAUAAUGGCUUUAAUCGACCCGUCUUGAAACACGGACCAAGGAGUCUAACAUGUCUGCGAGUGUUUGGGUGGAAAACUCGAGCGCGUAAUGAAAGUGAAAGUUGAGAUCCCUGUCGUGGGGAGCAUCGACGCCCGGACCAGACCUUUUGUGACGGUUCCGCGGUAGAGCAUGCAUGUUGGGACCCGAAAGAUGGUGAACUAUGCCUGAAUAGGGUGAAGCCAGAGGAAACUCUGGUGGAGGCUCGUAGCGAUUCUGACGUGCAAAUCGAUCGUCAAAUUUGGGUAUAGGGGCGAAAGACUAAUCGAACCAUCUAGUAGCUGGUUCCUGCCGAAGUUUCCCUCAGGA
This 935-nucleotide ribosomal RNA is filed under the name Cortinarius sp. RNAcentral describes it as "eukaryotic LSU rRNA". It matches the Rfam family "Eukaryotic large subunit ribosomal RNA", at positions 58 to 978 of the family's 3401-position model. The record is from RNAcentral. RNAcentral also lists the same sequence under 1 other name. Lineage: Eukaryota; Fungi; Basidiomycota; Agaricomycetes; Agaricales; Cortinariaceae.